This 412-nucleotide long non-coding RNA is filed under the name Nicotiana benthamiana. RNAcentral's name for it is "long non-coding RNA (NBEN_LNC041352)". Lineage: Eukaryota; Viridiplantae; Streptophyta; Magnoliopsida; Solanales; Solanaceae. The record is from RNAcentral.
UGCUCCUUUCUCUCUUGCUGUCUUAAUCCCCUGGAGUUCUUCUGAACUCAAAAGUACUUGUCAAAGUUCCUUGAGUUUGUUGACUGCCUGGCUAUUUAUUUGCUGUUACUACUCUGCUAUCCUAGAGCUUGCAGCUGGUAUAUUCUUCUAUGUUAAAUAGCUCCUUUUUUGUGUUCAACUUCUCUGCUUCUACCCUUCUUUCUUUGUGUGCUUACUUAUGCUUUCCUGCGUUAUGUGAUUAUAAUGUUAUGCCUAAUUGUGCUUUCAAUCUGUUAUGUUUUAAUCCCUUCCCUCCAUCCCUUUGUAUGUGGGUAUUGUGCUGAAUCAUGGUAGCACUUUGAAUUGCUUUCUCUGAUCCAGAACUAGACUCUUCUGAUUCUACUCAAUUUCUUUCCCAUUCCCUCUCCCCUAU